AUGAACGCUGGCGGCGUGCCUAAUACAUGCAAGUCGAGCGAACAGACGAGGAGCUUGCUCCUCUGACGUUAGCGGCGGACGGGUGAGUAACACGUGGAUAACCUACCUAUAAGACUGGGAUAACUUCGGGAAACCGGAGCUAAUACCGGAUAAUAUAUUGAACCGCAUGGUUCAAUAGUGAAAGACGGUUUUGCUGUCACUUAUAGAUGGAUCCGCGCCGCAUUAGCUAGUUGGUAAGGUAACGGCUUACCAAGGCAACGAUGCGUAGCCGACCUGAGAGGGUGAUCGGCCACACUGGAACUGAGACACGGUCCAGACUCCUACGGGAGGCAGCAGUAGGGAAUCUUCCGCAAUGGGCGAAAGCCUGACGGAGCAACGCCGCGUGAGUGAUGAAGGUCUUCGGAUCGUAAAACUCUGUUAUUAGGGAAGAACAAAUGUGUAAGUAACUAUGCACGUCUUGACGGAACCUAAUCAGAAAGCCACGGCUAACUACGUG
RNAcentral lists this ribosomal RNA (496 nucleotides) under uncultured bacterium. Its description in RNAcentral is "partial 16S ribosomal RNA". It matches the Rfam family "Bacterial small subunit ribosomal RNA", at positions 29 to 507 of the family's 1533-position model. The record is from RNAcentral.